RNAcentral lists this microRNA precursor (181 nucleotides) under Oryza glumipatula. RNAcentral describes it as "MIR812 microRNA precursor family". It matches the Rfam family "MIR812 microRNA precursor family". Lineage: Eukaryota; Viridiplantae; Streptophyta; Magnoliopsida; Poales; Poaceae. The record is from Rfam by way of RNAcentral.
AAUAAGCGCGACCAUUAGUUUCCGUAUCCAUUUUUUAUAAUUAGUAUUUUUAUUGUUAUUAUAUUAUAAAACAUGAAUAGUAUUUUAUGCGUGACUUAUAUUUUUUUUAGUUUUUUGAAAAAUGAAUUUAAAUAAGACGAACGAUUACAGUUGGAUACAGAAACUUAUGGCUGCGCUUAUC